This 497-nucleotide ribosomal RNA is filed under the name uncultured bacterium. RNAcentral describes it as "partial 16S ribosomal RNA". It matches the Rfam family "Bacterial small subunit ribosomal RNA", at positions 28 to 507 of the family's 1533-position model. The record is from RNAcentral.
GAUGAACGCUGGCGGCGUGCCUAAUACAUGCAAGUCGAGCGAACGGACGAGAAGCUUGCUUUUCUGAUGUUAUCGGCGGACGGGUGAGUAACACGUGGAUAACCUACCUAUAAGACUGGGAUAACUUCGGGAAACCGGAGCUAAUACCGGAUAAUAUUUUGAACCGCAUGGUUCAAAAGUGAAAGACGGUCUUGCUGUCACUUAUAGAUGUAUCCGCGCUGCAUUAGCUAGUUGGUAAGGUAACGGCUUACCAAGGCACCGAUGCAUAGCCGACCUGAGAGAGUGAUCGGCCACACUGGAACUGAGACACGGUCCAGACUCCUACGGGAGGCAGCAGUAGGGAAUCUUACGCAAUGGGCGAAAGCCUGAAGGAGCAACGCCGCGUGAGUGAUGAAGGUCUUCGGAUAGUAAAACUCUGUUAUUAGGGAAGAACAUAUGUGUAAGUAACUGUGCACAUCUUGACGGUACAUAAUCAGAAAGCCACGGCUAACUACGUG